RNAcentral lists this long non-coding RNA (5784 nucleotides) under Homo sapiens (human). RNAcentral's name for it is "MIR550A3 host gene (MIR550A3HG)". Lineage: Eukaryota; Metazoa; Chordata; Mammalia; Primates; Hominidae. The record is from RNAcentral.
CUCGGCUCGGAUCUACCUUCCAGUAGCAGCGGAGUGGCCAAUGGGACCGGGACCAGAGCCGGGGGCCGGAGGCCGCCGCCGCGGGGAGGUUCCCGGCCCAGGUGCCCAGCGCUCACCAGCCCGGCGGCGCCGCGGCGGCCCCGCAGCUGUUUCCUCGGGGGGGCGUGGCGUCGGGGGCCUUCGCGGCGCAGUCCUCUUUCAGCAUCCCGAACAGCAGCAGCGGCCCGUAGGACUCGCAGGACUCGGUGCACAGCAGCCCUGAGGAUGGCGGCGGCGGCCGGCACCGGCCGGUGGGCUGGAGCCCCGGCGGGCCGCUCCUGGUGAUCGGCUCCUUACCAGCUCACCUCUCACCGCGCAUGUUUGGAGGUGCUGAGAAACAUAAUGUCUGUUCCCCAAGAGCCAGCUAAUCAUUUUUACUAAGUACGAUAAUUGGCUGCCCUGAUUCAGAUAACAUAUCCUUAUUGUGACAUAGGGGUGACUAUUGUCAGAAAACCCUGAAAAUGUUUUAAAACAAGAACUAAUGGGGCUUGGCGAUUCUUGCCACGCUUUUCCAGAGCUCGGACCUUGCUAUUAUUUGCUACUAGACACCCACAAACCCUUGCUUGUUAAACUGAUCGCCUUCAAGACUCAAGAAAAGCGCCAUGCGGCUCCCUCCUAGGGCUCUCCUGACCUUUCCUCACCAAUGCCGAGAGUGGUCCUGCUGGAGAACGCACACGCCUGCAGUUCGUGCACCUUUUCCCGGAGCUGCACCAGGAAAUUAUGGAUCAACUGGAAGCAGCCAAGAAGAAGGGUCUUGGCGAUCACAUCCAGCUAUUCAGCCAUCUCAGACUGCGGACCUCCGUGCACCCCCUGGCAGGUUCCCUCCGCCUAGGGUCGAAAGCUUCAGAGGCAGCCCCAACUCUUCCACUUCUUCCUCCAUCUCUGGCUCCCAGGCUUGGGAGGCCCCGCGCCACCGCUUCAACUGGCUGGGGUGGGAAGAUUGAAACGGCUCUUGAGACUCUGCUUUUGCGCUUACUGCUCGUUUGCCCGACUAUUUUCUCAUAGUCCCUAUUCCAGUCAAUUUCUGGCACAGCCCAGCUUGAAACUGCUCUUGAGCCUCCGAUUUUGAGCUUACUCCUGGUUUGCCCGACUAUUUUCUCAUAAUCCCUGUUCCGGUCAGUUUCCGGCACAGCCCAGCUUGAAACAGCUCUUGAGCCUCCCCUUUUGAGCUUACUCCUCCUUUGCCUGACUCUUUUCUCAUAGUCCCUGUUCUGGUCAAUUUCCGGCGCAGCCCGGCUUGAAAUGGCUCUUGAGCCUACGCUUUUGAGCUUACUUCUCAUUUGCCCGACUAUUUUCUCAUAGUUCCUGUUCCGGUCAAUUUCCAGCGCAGCCCAGCUGAGUUGGGCGAGGUCUAGAAAGGCCUGACUCGCCUCUUGGCCUCAAUGACUUGUACCCGCUGCUUUUGCAGACCUCCCGGUCUUCAUGGCAACUGUGAAAUGUGGGGUGGGGGGCGUAGGGUUGAAGCCAUUCGCGCCGGUAGUCCCUGCAUGUCCCCUCAUGUGCUCCCCAGUGCGCACAGCACCCCAGCCUCCGCGCUUCUGGAAGCAGCCCAGAAGGGUCUUGGCAAUCACGUCCAGCUGUAAGCCAUUUCGCGGUCUCAGAUUGCGGACCUCCGCACGCCCCCUGGCAGGUUCCCUCCGCCUAGGGUGGAAAGCUGCAAAGGCAGCCCCAACUCUUCCACCACCUCCUCCAUCUCCGGCUCCUGGGCUUGGGAGGCCCCGCGCCACUGCUUCGACUGGCUGGGGCGGGAAGGUUGAAAUGGCUUUGAGACUCCACUUUUGAGCUUACUCCUCCUUUGCCCGACUAUUUUCUCAUAGUCCCUAUUCCAAUCAAUUUCUGGUGCAGCCCAGCUUGAAAUGGCUCUUGAGCCUCCGCUUUUCAGCUGACUCCUCGAUUGCUCAACUAUUUUCUCAUAGUCCCUGUUCCGGUCAAUUUCCGGCGCAGCCCAGCCCAGUCCGGCGAGGUCUGGAAAGGCCUGACUCGCCUCGCAGCCUGAAUGACUUGUACCCACCGCCGAUGCGGACCUCCCAGUCUUCUUGGCGACUGUGGGGUGGGGGGCAUGCGGUUGAAGCCGUUCACACGGGCAGUCCCUGCAUGUCCCCUCACGUGCUCCCCAGUGCACGCGGCACCCCCGCCUCCACGCUUCCCUGAGCGUGCAGCCUUUGGUGAGGGCAGCCCCACGCACAGCCCCCCACACCCUCCCCAGCGCCUGCAGCCCCUGGUGCACGCAGUCCCCAAGCCCGCACGUGCAGCCCCCACCUUGCACACAGCUCCAUGUACAGCCCCUCAUACGUUCACAGCCCCAGUGGCGCAGAACCCAUCACUACUCGCUCUUCACGCGCUUCACUGGGCGUGCAGCCCCCACAGCGCGCAGCUCAAUGCAGCCUCUCCACGUGCUCCCCAGGGCCUGCAGCCUCGUCUUAACUUCUUUUGCCAGGCCCACACAUACCUGCCUAUGGCCUGAGUGGAUUGGCAAUGACAGUGGUGACAGCUGACAUUUACUGAGUACAUGCUAUGUUCCAGAUGCUGCGUUUCCAUUCUCCAAUGAAGAAUCUUAAGUCUCAGGGCCUCAUGCAAAACUAUACAGCUAAUAAACAGUAGAGUUGGGAUCUAAGCCCAGGGAAUUUUACUCUAGAACUCGCAGUAUUAACCACAGUGCUCUCUUGGCUUAUAUUUCUAAGGCACAUGCUGUAACCACUUUUUUUUUUUUUUUUUUGAGAUGGGGUCUCACUCUGACAUCCAAGCUGGGGUGCAGUGGCGCGAUCUCGGCACACUGCAACCUUCGCCUCCCAGAUUCAAGGGAUUCUCCUGCCUCAGGCUCCUGAGUAGCUAGGAUUACAGGCACAUGCCACCAUGCCCGUAUAAUUUUUUGUAUUUUUAGUAGAGACGGGGUUUCGCCAUGUUGCCCAGGCUGGUCUCAAACACCUGACCUCAGGUGAUCCGCCCAUCUCGGCCUCCCAAAGUGCUGGGAUUACAGGUGUAAGCCGCCACGCCCUGCCUAUAACCAUUCUUUUUUUAGGGAGGUGUGGUAUAUGGUGCUACCCUGGAUCUGUAGUCAGGAUUUGAAGAAGGGAGAAGGUAUUUGCUUGUGAAGAAGGCACCAUGCAUUGUGCUCUGUAGUGGUGACUGGAGAGAGAGCUGGGAGGGGCACAGGCAGCAAGGUCCCUGCUUAAAGACAGUUAUCUAGUUUGGAGAAACUUAGCUGGAUAGUCAGUUCUUACAUGCAUUUGGCAAGCACUUAUCAUACACUGUAAAGAGGCAAUAUGUCUAGCUUGUUAGAGGGUGGGCUCUGGAGUCAGACUUCUGGCUUUGAACCCCAACUUCCCUGCCAUUUUCAAAUGACACUGGAGAAGUCACAAAACCUAUUUCUGUCUCAGAUUCCUCCCCAGUAAAAGUGGGAUAUUAAUAGUACCUCCUUUGGCUUGAUAUGAAAAUUCAAUGAGUUGAUAUAUGCAGAACAUCUUAGAACAGCAACUAGCUUAGAGUAAAUCUUCAGUAAUUGUAAACUGUGAAUAUACUAUGUUUUUGGCACUGAAGCCACGUCGUGGUAAGACAGUGCCUGACCUCAAGAAGCUCAGAGUCUAGUACUGGAGACAGGUGAACAAAUACUUGCAAAGUGUGUGGUGUGAGAGAGGUGUGACAGGUGGGCGGGAGCCUGCAGCAGGCACAUCUGACCCAUCCUAGGUGUGUGUUGUGCAGAAAAGUUAGCCUAGGCUUUCUAGGGGCACUGAUGUCUGGGCCGAGUCUUGUAGGGCAGGGAAUUAGUCAAGGGGAGCUGUAGUGAUCCAGCUGGGGCUGAGCAGGAGCUGAAAGUGAACAGCUCACAUCUGUAGGGUUGCCAGAUUUAGCAACGGAAAGUACAAGAUGCCCUAUUAAAUGUGAAUUUCAGAUAAAAUAAUAACUUUGAAGAAUAUGUGUCAUGCAAUAUUUUUAGUAUAAGUAUGUCCCAAAUAUUGUAUAACCACACACAUUAUUCAUUGUUUAUCUGAAAUUCAAAUUUCACUGGGCAUCCUAUGAAAAGUCUGUCAAUUUUAUCUGUCCGCAUUUAGGAAGGUGCAGUAUGUUUCAGAGUAGCUGGAGUGAUGCAGGGAGGAAAGGCAGAGUGGGCCGGAUGGGGCUGAGAGGCACACAGGAGGCAGUUUGUAAAAAACCUAUGCUAUGUUAAGGGAUUUAGAUUUUAUCCUGAAAUUAGUGAUGAGCCCUUGGAGAGCUUUAACCACAGGGAUGUGAAACCACAGAGACAGCAGUGUCGGGCACGAAGAAAUGAGUGUCACUUUCUAUGGCUGAAUAGCAAAUUACUCCAAAUUUAAAGUCUUAAACAGUAAACAUUAUCUCCCAGUUUCUGUGGCUCAGGAAUUCAGAGGCAACUUAGCUGGGUGGUUCUGGCUGAGGUUUCUCAUGAGGUUGUAGAUAAGAUAGUGACCAGAGUGGCAGUUAUCUAAAGGAUGCACUGGAGCUGGAGAAUUUGCUUCUAGGGUGACUCACUCUAAUGGUUGGGAAGGUACUGCUGGCUGUCAGCAGGAGAGCUCAGUUCCUUGCUACAGGACCCCCCAUAGGACAACUUGAGCCUCCUCACAACAUGACAGCUGGCUUAGUAAUCCAAGACAGCAAAGUGACAUUAACUUUGGAAGUCACAUGCCACCUUGUCAUUCCCAUAUAUCCCAGUGCUAACACAGCUCAGCCCUGCUCAGUGCAGGAGGGUCCUACACAAGGAUGUACAUACAAGAAGGUGGGGAUCAUGGGGUUAUCUUGGAGGCUGGUUUUCUGGGAUGGGAGGCUUACAUGGUGAUGCCUGUGACCUUGGAGGUGGAGGAGAAUGAUGGGCGUACAGAGGAGUGAAGAAAGGCUGGGAGGAAUAGAGAUGUGGGAGAGGAGGUGAGGCAAAGAAAAAAGAAAGGAGGAAGGGGUGUUGGAGCAGAUUGUAGUUGAUCCACAGCAAAGAGCAUCACCAAAGCCAUUCCAGGAGGAACUAGAUCCACCACUUCCUCUGCUGGGCAUGCUCCAAAAAUGGUUGUGGCCUCCAGAGAGGACUCCAAAAGAAAGCACAAAAACUAGACAGUGGGAGGGCAUACCCAAAAGCCCUGAGUUUCUGAAAAAAUAUUGAAAGUUUCUAUGGUGAAAUAGGAAGUUAAUGUGCUUAGGAAGAAAAAAGUGGUAAUGAUUCAAGGAAACAUAAUCACACACGGUUUUAGUUUUAAUGGACAUGGGAGGAGCCAUAAAAGUAGUCUAUCUAUCAUCAGUUACAUAUCUAAUGAACUGUCUAUCUGGGAUACCCUAUCCUGUUUUAAUCUGAGUGACUCUCUCUCAGCUGAGAGAGCUGGACAGACUCCAUUUUAGCCUCUUCACUUGCAGUCCCCUUAUCCCCCUCCCUUAAGGGAAUAACUAGUGCAAGCUGACUCCAAGCACAUCCAGGAAUGCACUUACUGAUAAGAUAUUGAGGCAAGCUGUACCAGCAGCUCCUGGGGACGUGCUCAGUGGAUGGUACCCAAGCCCCUGCAUUUAUCUCUUUGUGAUAGUUUAAGCCCCUGCACCUGGAACUGUGUAUUUUUCUGUAACUAUCUCUGUAACCAUUAAUUUUUUUUAACUUUUUGCGUGUUCUGCUUCUGUAAAAAUUGCUUCAGCUAGGCUCCCCCUGCCCUAUUUAGACCACGGUAUAAAAAGAAAUCUAUCCCCUUCUUCGGGGCUGAGAGAAUUUUGAGCUCUAGCCAUCUCUCGGUCACUGGCAAUAAAAGAACUCCUGAAUUA